Molecule: non-coding RNA, 98 nt
Organism: Mycena rebaudengoi
Lineage: Eukaryota; Fungi; Basidiomycota; Agaricomycetes; Agaricales; Mycenaceae
Source: the annotation of a GenBank genome assembly
GACCCAGUGGUGCAACGGCUAGCACACCUGUAUAUUAUAAGAAAUAAGAAAUGUUGAAUCUUUUGCAGGGGACCCCCGUUCGACUCGGGGUUGGGCCA